This is a long non-coding RNA of Magnolia sinica, 337 nucleotides long. RefSeq lists it as uncharacterized. The record is from RefSeq and is a predicted model, not a curated record. NCBI's taxonomy places the organism in Eukaryota, Viridiplantae, Streptophyta, Magnoliopsida, Magnoliales, Magnoliaceae. The transcript has 2 exons.
GUUACAGAAUAAUAUGGAAGACCUCUACAGCCUUUUGUGCUUCUUACACGUCUAGCCAUGGUGCAACUGGGCCUGGCAUUGGAUAAGAUCAGAUUUCUUUCGCUUACGGAUAAGGAUAUUUUGGGUGAAAGGCGAUACUGCAAAGCUUGAGAUCCUGGUUAGUGAUGGCUCAUUUUUUAGUAUACUAAUUAUUUUGGGUGAAGGUGAUAUUGGAAAUGACAAAGAACAAUGAUGUUUCCUAAUAUUUAUAAUGAGGAAGUAAAGCUGUGUUUUUCAAUUCCAACUUGAAAGUGAUUUAUAGGCCAUCAAUAUAAGCAAGCUGUGGAGAAGGAUUUUA